UCGAGGUUAGGCAACUGGGAAAGUGAGCUUGGUAUUGGGCCUGAGAGGUUGUUGGCGGAAAGGUAAAGUAGCUGGAGAUUUUUAAGUUGGCCCAAGAAAGAUGGUAUCGGGCCUGAGACACCGGUAUAUUCGAUAAAAAGGUACUUUAGUUUUGUGAGCUUGGCGAUAGUGGGCUGAAUUGGGCCUGUGAGCCUGGAAAGUUUAUGGAAUUCGAGGUUUUCGAGAUAUGGGAGGUCACCGAUGGACGGGGNNNNNNNNNNNNNNNNNNNNNNNNNNNNNNNNNNNNNNNNNNNNNNNNNNNNNNNNNNNNNNNACGGGGGUAUGUGGCCCGAGAGAUUUGUGUCUGGCACAGAAGAUUUCAUAAUUAAGGCCGUGAUACGAUGCGUUUUGAUGUCGCACUUGACGCAAUACCAAUCACAACAGUCCGUUUGUGGAUUCCAUGAGGCUAGAAAGUAAGGGUUGUUGAGUUCCUUCUUGAAUCUGAGGAGUACCUUCUUGUCUUGAGGGUUACAUUUCUCAGAUGCAACUGGGGACAGUAGUAGUAGUGAGAGGAGACAUAAUGCUAGAACCAUUGCAGUUCCACCAAACUCGGUUCUCAUUUUUUGUUGUAAUUUGAACUUUAAUGGUAGGGCAGUGGGGUGGGAGAGAAUUGAUGGAACAUUGGUACUUAUAGGAAUAAUAAUGAGAAACACAUGACUUGUUAGUGUCCUGCAAUAAAAUAAACGGUAAUGCUAAACAGUGCCCUUGGGACACUAAUUAAACAUAUUAAAAAAAAAAAUAAAUGAUAAAGUAAAUAAUGGGAGAGAAUAACUUUUCACUUCAUUAAAACAUUGAAUGCACAAUUUACGAGAUAAAACUUCUAUAUUUGUAUCCGGAGGCACUGUUUAGCAUUUUUCCUAAAAUAAAAUAAUGAAUUACUGUAUAUAUUUAUGUCAAUAUCAAUUUUCUGUGCAUGCUUCAUCGUAACAUUGUGAAAGUUGUAAAUAGUACUUCUAUAACAAGUAAAUAAAGUCUAAAAAUAUAUUAUAUUUUAAAGAAUUGGAAAAAAUAAUUAAAAGAAAUUAAUUAGUCACUUGAACUCAAUAUAUUGAUAUAUUGUUUAUGUAAAAUUUUACAAUGUUACAACUAUCAUAAAUAUAAUUUUGGUAGAACUCGUUAUAAGUUUUAUAUGUGGUCAAGAUUAUAUAUGUUACUCAAAUACUAUAUCCGGUCAUAAAUAUAAGAGGAAAUUUACUUUUUAGAUUCAUUGAGAAUUUAAUGUAUCUGGUUCAUAAUAUGAACUAGAUGCAUUAGAUUCUCAAUGAAUCUAAAAAUCAAAAUUUCUCUUAUAUUUAGGACCCGAGAGAGUAUAAGUAUAUUGAUUAAUUAAUAUAUUUGAAAUAUAUUGUCAUAUAUUUUGUCCUUGAUUAUAUGUUACUCCCUAUGUGAUCAAAUACAUUAAUUAUCAUUGAUCGUUAGUUGAUUCAGUGAUGAUUGAUGCUGAACUUGGUGUAGGGAGUUCCACUGUUCGAUACCAGAUUAAACUUAUGGUAAAAGAAAAAAAACAAAACAUUAAUUAUUAAGUAAAUUUAAAAGGAUGAAUUUUACGUAUAUUUUGUUAGGGAGGAAGAUAUUUGGAUUCUCUUUGAUUUUCCUAAAAUAUAUUUAACUUAGAAAGCGAAAAUAUUGUAUAUCUAAUUGUAUUUAUGCGUGUUGUAAAAUAAAAAUACCUUAAAGUUUUGCUUAAAUAUAAAAAAUGUGAAAAAUUAAAACUUUAGAGAAUUAUGAUAAUUUUUGGAAAAUGCUAAACCGAGCACUAGUAAGGCAUAUUAAUAAGAAAAUUUUAGGCAAAAUUACAUUGUAUGUCCUUUAUUUUAUUUUUUUUGUAACACUUUGGUCCUUUAUGUUUUUUUUGUAACACUUUGGUCCUUUAUCAUUUCUUUUGUAACAUUUUGGUCCUUUAUCUUUUUUUAUAACACUUUGGUCCUUUAUUUUUUUUUAUUUGUAACAUAUAGGUCAUUUAUUUUUUAUAAAUAAAUAAGAUAAAGAACUAAAAUGUUAUAAAAAAAAAGACUAAAGUGUUACAAAUAAAAAAAGAUAAAAACUAAAGUGUUACAAAAAAAAAAUAAAGGAUCAAAGUGUUACAAAAAAAAGAUAAAGGAUUAAAUUGUUACAGAGAAAAGUUAAAAGAUCAAAGUNNNNNNNNNNNNNNNNNNNNNNNNNNNNNNNNNNNNNNAAGUGUUAAAAAAAAAAAAAAAGUGCAAAAAAAUUAUUUUUCUAUCCUUAAUUUUAUCUUUAAUUUUCAUUUUUAAUAUGAUUAAUAAAUAAAUGUCCUGAAUAUACUAUUUAGCCUGACCCAUAAUUUAUUUAUUAUAAAUAUAGUCAAAACAUAAACUACUUUAUAUAGUACGCAUUUAUUUUCUUAUACACAUCUUUUGAUAUGAGGAAGUACGUACUACUGUGCUAUACGACAAGUUAAAAGUGGUUUUGGCCCAACCAAAAUCUGUACUUGUACUUUACUCAUUUGUCUACACUAUGAUUAUGGGCUUUAUCCUUUCAUAAGAGAUCACGACUCACGAGGUGGGUUGUUCCAAUUCAAUUAUUGCGUGUAGCAGUGCCAUUUUCCUAUCACUGAGCUGUAUGGCAGUGAAGUAAGUAUACGUACCCUUCUACCAAAAUAAUUGUUUCAUUGAAAAUUGAAAAUGUCAAUUGUUUUGAGACUAAUGUUACGGUUCACAAUUUUUUUAAUAAAAAUAUGUUAUUUUAGAAAGGAGAGAGUGCAUUAUUAAACACAAAUGGUUUCCAAUGGUUUGUGUUGGGAUAGUGGGAGAUAUUUUUAGAUGGUCAUUUGAUUAAAGAUAUUAUAUUUGGUCACACUCAUAAAAUAAAAUAAGUNNNNNNNNNNNNGAGGGAGUGUUGAUGAAUAGUUGAGAAGUUUCAUUAAAUUUAUUGGUCAAGAAAAUGCUUAUGUGGUGGAGCUUUAGGGGUGCUAGUGCUAGAGGGCCUCAUUAGGGAGCUUAAUUUUUGAGUGGAAUUAGUAGUAGCAUUUAAGCUAGAUCUCUUGUUGAGAAAAUUCGUCAGUUUCUAGACUUGGAAUGGGACAAUCGUAGUUCAUUACUCUUAGAUUAUAUAAGAAACUAGUACAAUUGUAGCUCAACUUAGCAAUUUUUUUCUUCUUAAAAAAGGUUACAAAGAUGACAUUUAAGUCAUUCCAACUUAAUACCCCAAAUAAGUCACUAAGAAUGAUACAAGAAAAUAUAAAAAUUUAUCUGUCUCUUUAAAAACCUUAUCAAAGAUUCAAAAAGAGUACAUAGAUAAACUAAAGUACUAAACAUAAAUUCUUAUUCUUAGUUAUAAUCUCAUUGAGACAUGAGAUUCUUAGUAUUAUUAGCAAGUUUUCAUAAUCACUUGCAUUUUGAAAGUGGUGCUCCACACAAACACUUGUUAUGAAGAUAAGCAUACUUAUCAAAAUUAUCCUGCAAUCUUUUCGUCCCACCUUGAGGUAUCUGACCACACAACUUAUUAUAACUCACAUUAAACUGUUGCAAUUCCACUUUCGCCAAUUCAACCGGAAGCUUACCAUAAAUGUUAUUAUGAUUAAUAUCCAACCAUAUCAAACUCUUAAUCGGAAAUUGAACUUUCGAAAAAUCAAACGACAAUAAAUUCCUCGAAAUGUCAAUCUUUUGUGUCUUUUUCUUGCUCCCGAAAAGCACGGAAGCAUCGCCUACGAGCUUGUUCCUCGACAAGUCUAUCCUCUCUGGGUCAAUUUGGCCCAAUGAGGUUGGAAUAGUUCCAGAAAGCUGGUUGCGGGAUAGAAUAAUAUCUGGCCCGGGCUUUUUAAAUGAACCAAAUGAUUCUGGAAUUGUGCCCGUGAGCUUGUUUCCGUCCAAGCGUAAGGAAGUGAGUUUAGGCAAUUGAGAAAGUGAGCUUGGUAUUGGGCCUGAGAGGUAGUUGCCAGUAAGGUGAAGAAGUAUGAGGUUUUUAAGUUGGGCCAAAAAAGGCGGUACUGGGCCUGAGACAUUGGUAUAUUCGAUAAAAAGAUAUUUUAAAUUUUUGAGCUUAGCGAUUGUGGGCGGAAUUGGGCCUGUGAGAUAAGGUAGUCUAUGGAAUGAGAGACUUUGGAGGUAAGGUAGGUCACCUACCGAAGGAGGGAUAUGGCCCGUAAGAUUGGUGAAUACAGGGCUAUCUCUAAUAGAGAGGGAGAUUAUACGGUCUGUUAUUUCAUCACAUUGGAUGAGGUACCAGCCACAACAAGGUGUUUUUGGAUCCCAUGAGGCUAGAAGGUAAGGGUUGUUAAGAUCUUUUUUGAUUUGGAGUAACACUUUCUUAUCUUGUGAGUUGCAAUCUUUUAUUGGUGUAAUUGGUGUAAUUGGCAUGACAGAGAGAGAUUGAGAGGAUUGUGGAGGAGACGAUCCAAAUCCAAGUGGAGAGAGUGACAAAAGGGAGAGGAGGGUGAGAGUGAGAGCUAUUGUAGCUCUACAAAACAUGGUUUCUAUUUUUGGUUGGAAUAUUAUAAUGUUGAAUGAUACUAUUAAGUGGGAGAAUUGGUGUUUUUAUAGAAUUUAAUUAGAAAAACAUGCUAAACGUGACUUAUUAGUAUGGUGUGGAAGAAAACAGUGUAUGGAUAAGGGAAAGAUUUUUACUGACAAAAAGAUAAGGAAAAUCUAAAAUGGAAUGAUUGUGUAUUUUUGUUUGUUCUCUAUGGUAAAUACUAGUGGUAAAUAUUAUGCUCAGUCCAACUUAUUUCUAACUUAUUAGUAAUUCAUAAUGUUAAAAUAAAUUGUUUCUCUUUCAUGCUUUUCACUUUAUACAUAUUUUAAAAAUAUAUAAAAUAUCAUAUGACAACAAAUUUUUCAUAUUCAAAUAUCAUUUUUUUUUUUAUGAAACAUAUGUAAGUAUAGAAAGUAAAAAUUAUAAACGAAAUAGAAAAAAAAAUAAAAAUACUAUAUGUUAUCAAAUUCUAAAUAUGUGUGAAUUUUUUAGUUGAUGUCAUAUAUACCUCAUCAACUAAGUCUUUGGUUGAUGAUGUGUUCAAAGGUAAAACCGGUGGUUUACAUGGGCACACCGCACAUGGUUAUUCUUUACAUAUGUACUUCCAUCUGUGACAAUAUAAAUUAAGAAUAUAAAAAGUAUUUAACCGUGCAUAAAUCAAUAUUUUUAAUAAAAAGCAUGUGUUUCUAUCUUGCAGAACUUUUGGUUCUCUUUGGCCUCUUGUCAGUUUGUGGAUUGACUCCUCUCUAGUGACUGCUCAGGCUAUUUCGGAUCACUUUAUUCAAUUUACUAUUUCAGUAGGGGUUUCUUGUGCACGACGUUCAUUCAUGCAACUCAUAUGACUUGCUUGCGUGUGGGUUGUGUGGACUGAACGAAACCAUUGAUUGUUUAGAGGCUCGACACAUUCAGUAAUCAGAUGUUGGACAAGAUUAGGUCUUUCUCUUAUAGGUGGUUAAAAGCGACGAGUAGUACUUUAGUUUUGAACAGCAAUAAUUGAUGGUCUAGUCCUAUGUUUUGUUUGGACCUUGUAUAAUUUUCCUUAUGAUUUUAUUUUUUGUAUUUUGAUCUCUCUUGUAACUUUAUAAUCUCUCUUGACACACCUUAUAUUAAGUAGAUUACUUUUUAUAUAUACAUAUGUCAUUUUGAUUUGUUAAAAAGAAAUAUUUUUUUUACACAUAGAUUUGAGAUAGUACUACUGUACGGGUACUAUACAAUAGUAUCCGAUAAAGGAGUUAAAGUUGUAACCAAGAAAAAAAGAUAAAGGAGUUAAAGUGGCUUUCGUCCCACCAAAAUUUGUACUCACUCAUUUUGUCUACACUUUCAUCAAUAAUGUUUUCUUUUUAGGCCUCUCAUAUAUCUUUUAUAUCCCCAAAUAUUUUAAUUUUGCUCUUGCUAAAAACUUCGGUUCGUAAAAAUCGAAAUUUUUUCUAGUUCAAAUUCAGGGAAAGUUCGGUUAACAAAGAUCGAAAAAAAAUUUCAAGGCAAAAAAAAUUUGGUUCGUAACAACCAAAAUUUUUAUUAAAGGGUAAAAAUAUAAAAUUCAGAAGGGAAAAAUGAACCAUGACGAACCUAAAGAGAAAACAUCUUCAUCAAUCAUCAUGGGCUUCAGGGAUUGUGUUCUUCAAUUUUCAUAAGAGGUCACAUGGUGGGUUGUUCAACUUCAAUUAUUGCUUGUAGCAGUGCCAUUUUCCUACUAUCACUAUGCUUUUAUGCCAUGCAUGCUGUAUCGCAAAGAAGUACUAUAUGAUGGUGGAUUUACUCCUUUCCUCCCAAAAUAGAUCAUUGAAUACACCACGUACCUUCAGUUAAUGAGCACGCUACCUUCAGUUUUGAACUUCAUUAAUUAACCACAAGUUUUUUAGUUAUUGAUCAAGUAUACAUUUUUUAUUGACACUAGUUAUUCAAGUAUACAUGAUUUAGAUAUGUUUGAAUAUAUAAUAUGAUAUUUAACAAAUUAAAUGAUUGAACUCAAGUGAUUAAUAAGGAUUAUUUAAGGAACAAAUUGUUGAAAAGAACUUUAGUUUGAUUUUUGAGUGAUAUCAUUUUUGUCUGACAUUACUUACGUGUCUCAAAUUUGCAUUAGGGAGUUGCUAAAUUUUACGAAGGAGUGUCAUAAGAAAGACAAGAAUUGUAUGUGUAUACUUGAACAAAUAAAAUUAAAGGUGCGAAGUAGGUAUUUUUGAGUGAUAUUAUUUUUGUCUGACAUUACUUACUCGUCUCAAGAUUUUUAGUAUGUGUAUAGUUUAAAUCAGCGGCACAUAUUCAUUCUUGCUUUUCGUCUCCACAAAGCUUCGUAAAGACCAACAUUUUCCUUUGCAUUAACAUGAUCUCUUUCUUCUAGAAACUCGAGAGUUUUACACACACAAAAAAAAAACACACCAUAAUAUUCAUUAAACACUUGACAUUGUAGUUCAAAUAUGCACUUGAAAAUCAUAGUUAAUUAUGUAAAAUAGAUGGUUAAUGAGUUACAACACUUUCUUAAAUUCAUUAAUCAACCACAUAUUUAAAUUGCAUUAACACUUAAAUUAUUGUUGAAUUUUAAUUUCAAAUUAAAUAUUAUUUCUUUUCAAUUUCUUUUUACGGUUUCUAAAACUCGAUAUCUCUAGCAUUAUUUCAGAAAUUAUAAAAAUGUGAAAACACUAUUUUUAUUGUAAAAAAAAAAAAACAUUAAUUGUUCCUAACAAGUGAUUGAACUUAAGUUAUUUAGGUUAGUGAUGCCGUAAACAAGAUUGGUCUCAUUCACAAUUUUCUUUAUUAAAACAGGCUCGUAAAUUAACCUUUGAAAAAUAAUUCUUAAUUUUAACCAAGGUUUUGCGAAGGGAAAAAAUAAUAUAUCACAUUAAUUUUAACAGAGUCGUUUUUAUUAUAAAGUUUUGAAAAAUAAAUUAACAAUUUCAUUUUGAAACCACACAAGUUUAAAACACUGAGGUUAAUUUAUAAUUCUUAAUUUUUUUUGGAUUUCACCACCAAUUUAAUCUGGUUCGGCAAUUAGUUCUGGCAUCAAAUAAUUUCAGCCUAUUCCGAUUGCAGUUGCUAUCAUUCUUAAUUUUAACAAGCUAAGGUUUUGCGAAGCGAAAAAAUAAUAUCACAUUAAAAGAAACUAUAACGGCAGCUCAACUUAGCAAUUGAACUUUGUCAAAAGAAAAAAAACUUAGCAAUUGAACAUUGAACAAAUUGCAUGCAAAUCAUAUCGUACUCAAAUACAAACUCUCAUUCUUAUGUCUCAUUGAAAACAUGAGAUUCAUUUAUUGUCAACUUAGCAAGUUUUCUUUUAUCACUUGCAUUUUGGAAGUGGUUUGCCACACAAACACUUGUUAUGAAGAUAAGCAUACUCAUCAAACCUGUCCUGCAAUCUCCCAGUUCCACCCUGAGGUAUCGCACCACACAAUCUAUUAUAACUCACAUUAAACUGCUGCAAAUUUUCGACUUUCGUCAAUGCAACCGGAAUCUUCCCAUAAAUCUUAUUAUGAUUAAUAUCUAACCAUAUCAAACUCUGUUUCGGAAAAUCAACUUUUGAAAAAUCAAAUGACAAUAAAUUCCUCGAAACAUCAAGUAUUUGUGUCUUUUUCUUGCUCCCGAAAAGCACAGAAGCAUCACCUUCAAAUUUGUUUCUCGACAAGUCUAUCCUAUCAGGAUCUAAUUGGCCCAAUGAAGCCGGAAUAGGCCCAGAAAGCUGGUUGUGAGAUAAGAUGAGAUCUGGGCCGGGCUUUUUGAAUGACCCAAAUGAUUCUGGAAUUGGGCCCGUGAGCUUGUUUCGGUCCAAGUGCAAGGACUCGAGUUUAGGCAAUUGGGAAAGUGAGCUUGGUAUUGGGCCUGAGAGGUUAUUGGUGGAAAGGUGAAGAAGUUGAAGGUUUUUAAGUUCGGCCAAGAAAGGCGGUAUUGAACCUGAGACAUUGGUAUAUUCGAUAAAAAGAUAUUUGAGAUUUUUUAGUUUAGCGAUUGCGGGCUGAAUUGGGCCUGUGAGAUAAGGUAGUUUAUGGAAUGUGAGAGAUUCAAGGUAAGGGAGGUCACCUACCGAAGGAGGGAUAUGGCCCGAGAAAUUGGUGAAUGCCGGGCUAUCCAAAAUAUCG
RNAcentral lists this long non-coding RNA (8540 nucleotides) under Trifolium pratense (red clover). Its description in RNAcentral is "long non-coding RNA (TPRA_LNC014378)". The record is from RNAcentral. Lineage: Eukaryota; Viridiplantae; Streptophyta; Magnoliopsida; Fabales; Fabaceae.